GCUCACGUGGUGGAAUUGGUAGACACGCUAUCUUGAGGGGGUAGUGGCGAGAGCUGUACGAGUUCGAGUCUCGUCGUGAGCACCA
The sequence is a transfer RNA, 85 nucleotides long. It matches the Rfam family "tRNA". From Rfam's summary of the family: Transfer RNA (tRNA) molecules are approximately 80 nucleotides in length. Their secondary structure includes four short double-helical elements and three loops (D, anti-codon, and T loops).